Molecule: unclassified non-coding RNA, 971 nt
Filed under: Hevea brasiliensis (rubber tree)
Lineage: Eukaryota; Viridiplantae; Streptophyta; Magnoliopsida; Malpighiales; Euphorbiaceae
Source: RNAcentral
GGAGUUCCUACAUACAUACAUCAUUCUGCUGGUUAUUCAAGCAUUGAUCUAGAGAAGACUCAGCUGCAGCUACACAGAAGCUGUGGUUGCUCGUCCAUCGUUGUUGCACAGUCAGCUUUAUUCCAGAUCCAUCUUGAAAACCGUCUAAAUUUGCAAUAAUGCAUCUGCGGAAGGAAUAUUGUUCGUCGUAUCCAGCUCCUCAUCAAUCAUGACAUCUCCGUUCUCGUCAAACACAUUGGCUGAUGUAAUCCCAUCAAGAGAAAACAAUUGACUCGCACAAGCGGAGAUGGAUACUGGGCUGGUUUGCAUCUCAACAGAAGGAUGUUCCACAGCAGAACCUAUAUCUGUGCGCGUGCCAUUUUGAGUAGCUACCCGAUCAAUCUUGCCACCACUCAAAUUACAUGUGGCAGAACUUGGAUGCUGGAGCUCAGUCAGAUCAUUUUCCACAUUGACUAAUGUGUGUGUUCUAUUGCUUGCUGUCACCACAUCAGGUUUGGCUGUAGUAAGCUGAAGAGCUUGUCGCUUCGACUGGCCACUUCCAGGACCAAGUUGAGCAUUCAACUGCGUCUGCACCCAGACAGCUAGAGAAAGUGCAUGAUCACGAAUCAAAGAAUCAUGAGGUGGGCAGUGUAACAUAUCGACCAGAGCCUGCAUAUACUGGAACAUACUGACGGAUGGAGUAUUAGACCCUUUGUCACGUAGACAUUUAAUGCUUUUAAGAAUAUGCUCGCAUAAGUUUCCCAUUUUCGCCCAAUUACAAUCACAAAGUGCAUAUUCGGAAGCUGGAUUCCAAACAACAUGCACUUUAUGUCGAUCUUCCUGAUCAACAACUUUUGAAUAAUCACCCUCAAUUAACACAUCUGAAUCUGGAAUCUGCAAAGAUUUCUGCCAAGCUGUUAAGCCACUCAUCCAUUCAUCCUUCCAGUAUCGUGCGAAAUCAUCCUUCCCUGAGUACUCAUCAAGCCAGAAGU